UCACCUCAACAAAUAAAAAAUAAAAAUAUAUAAUUUUAAGAAAUUAAGAAUUAAAAAUAAAUCUUACUAAUUGUCUGUGCCGUUUGUGUUAUCCUCAUCAUUAGAUUCAGUAUCACGUCUUCCUCUGUCCUGAAGUCUCGUCUCCACAUCCAGCUAAUCUUUAAAGCAGAGUAGCAUCUCAAUUAUCUCGUUCGUCAUUCCACUUCUCUUUUUAUCCAGAAUGCACCGAUCUGUACUAAAAGCUGAUUUCGAUCUACUAUAGACAUUGGCACAACUAAAAUAUCAUGUACAAUUACAGACAUAACAGAGUAUUGAUUUUUUAUAUUCUUCCAUCAGGCCAAUACAUCAAGAUUUUUUAUUUGAUUUUCAUCUAAUGCAGAGGAGAUUUUAUUUCGUAAAUAAAAUUCUAAUUCGUUGCUUAAAGAUGAAGAAGAUACCGAUGAAGAAGAUGCAUGUGAAUGUCUCCUAUAUGUAAGAAAUGAAAAAACAGAUGAUGAACG
This 500-nucleotide long non-coding RNA is filed under the name Elaeis guineensis (African oil palm). Its description in RNAcentral is "long non-coding RNA (EGUI_LNC028411)". Lineage: Eukaryota; Viridiplantae; Streptophyta; Magnoliopsida; Arecales; Arecaceae. The record is from RNAcentral.